AGUUUCGUAGUUGAACCACAACGUUGGCUCUUCAAGCCAAAAGUCCCAUUAAACUAGGGCGAAGCUA
This 67-nucleotide transfer RNA is filed under the name Rhabdopleura compacta. RNAcentral describes it as "transfer RNA-Glu". The record is from RNAcentral. Lineage: Eukaryota; Metazoa; Hemichordata; Pterobranchia; Rhabdopleurida; Rhabdopleuridae.